UCCCAGACCCUACGGGAGGCAGCAGUGGGGAAUAUUGGACAAUGGGGGGAACCCUGAUCCAGCGACGCCGCGUGAGUGAAGAAGUAUUUCGGUAUGUAAAGCUCUAUCAGCAGGGAAGAAAGAAAUGACGGUACCUGACUAAGAAGCCCCGGCUAACUACGUGCCAGCAGCCGCGGUAAUACGUAGGGGGCAAGCGUUAUCCGGAUUUACUGGGUGUAAAGGGAGCGUAGACGGCGAUGCAAGUCUGAAGUGAAAGGCGGGGGCCCAACCCCGGGACUGCUUUGGAAACUGUAUAGCUGGAGUGCAGGAGAGGUAAGUGGAAUUCCUAGUGUAGCGGUGAAAUGCGUAGAUAUUAGGAGGAACACCAGUGGCGAAGGCGGCUUACUGGACUGUAACUGACGUUGAGGCUCGAAAGCGUGGGGAGCAAACAGGAUUAGAUACCCGAGUA
RNAcentral lists this ribosomal RNA (448 nucleotides) under uncultured bacterium. Its description in RNAcentral is "partial 16S ribosomal RNA". It matches the Rfam family "Bacterial small subunit ribosomal RNA", at positions 329 to 792 of the family's 1533-position model. The record is from RNAcentral.